UCAUCAAAGUUGAAGUUCCAAAUUUGAUUUGGCUGUGCGAAUGUUCUCUUAUUUUCCCAUUUGAGAUUCUUAUUGAUGUUGGAUUAUCCUUUUGGUUGGGUGAUUAAGUUUGAUUUAGGUGUGUGAAUAUAUAAAAUUUGAUUUGGGUAUGUGUUGUAUGGAGGUUUAUAAGAGAUGGAUUAGAAGGAAUAAAGGUUUUGUACGUCAAUUGGAUUCUAUUGUCAAUGGUGAAGUUAAAAUUUGCAGUUAUUACAAUUAAAGCUUCGGCUACAGGGUAAGAGUAAUGACAUGAGUAAGAGGAAAAUUAAGAGAAAGAGUACGGAAACAAGCUUAUAUUCCCUGAUCCAGUCACUUGAUACUAUUGAUUUAAAUCCUUCAUACAACUAAUGGUGAUCAUUUCAUUUAUAAGGCAAAUCUCGUGUUAGAUAUUCAGCUUGGUAAUUUUUUAUUAGUUGAGCUUGUCAUUUUCAAUCACUAAUUUUCUAUUGAGAUCAGUAACUUUGUUGCCUUAAAUAUUUUGUCUUCUUCUUAGCUUAUUCUCAAUACUAAAAAGAAUUCAACUGGAGUACUUUAAGAAGGGUCGUUGAAUGAGCUAAAACUUUGAUGAACCUAUAUACUUUUGGCUGAAUAAUUCUUGAAGGUUUGUUAUCUCCUCAAGUAUUUCUAUUAGUUGUAUGAUUUUGUGGAGUUUAAGUUGAGUUUCAUUGUUGUGAGUUGCUUAAUCUUUGUAUCUUAGGUAGGUUAGGAAACUUGAUGCCAAACCCCUACAGAUAAUCAAUGACUAUCCUGUCUACAAGCACAUUCUUAUUUCUUAUCCUUGAUUGGUAAGGUGCGUGUUAAAGUCAUUCAUGUAUAUUGAAUUUGUUGCAUCAGCAGAGAACUCUAGGGUAAUUAACAGGGGAAAAAGUUAGAUUUGGUGAAUUCAUAGCAAAGAAAGAAAACAAAGGGUCAUACUUGAUAUACAUUUGUAGUAAAAAAACUUGAAUGGAAAUAGAGGACGUUGUUACCACUUUAAUCAUCCUUAGUCUUUCUUCUUGGCUUCGGAGUCAAUAAGAUAUUCCUGAGAUUGUAAGUUUAAAAAACGAAACAAAUGAGAAUAUAGUUGAGAUAGCAAAGUUGAAACUCAAUGUGGAUAUAACUGUUAUAUAUACUUAAACAGUGACCUAGCGUUGAAAUAUUAACGGUAACAAGUCUUAUUAUCUAAAUGAAAACAGUCUCUCCAGAGUAUAUGAAAAAGAGGAUUUGCUAUAUUUAGCAUCAGUGCUCAAUGAACUAUUUAGGUAGUUGAAACAUUAAAGCUUGCGUUAAUACCUGCAAGUUGCCAACUUAUAGCAUAAGCAACGAUCUUGAGAUAUCGUUCAGACAAUAGGUUUUCUCAUUCAUUUGUAAAAACUUAUAAAUUUCGCGUAGCGGUAUGUGGCAAAGAGAAUGCAACUUUGGGAGCACCAUAACUAUUCAUUCACACUUUCAGCAGUACUGAGAUAUUGACCCAUUUUUCUUACUUUUAGUCGCCUUUGUCGAGGAAUGCUCUACAAUAUUCAUUACGUAUUGAUAGUUUCUAUCAAGUUGUUGUUAGCUUGAGCUAUCCAAGUUGCUUCAGACUAAAUGUUUGGAUGAUACAAGGUAAAAUCUUGCAGCUAUACCGUUGAUACAAGAGGCUAACUGUUUGAAUGACACAAGGUAAAAAUGAUGCAAUUAUACUAUUGGUAUGAGCUACAAAGUCUUACAUCAAAUAUUGCAGAUAGCCAUGAAAAUUUAUCUUUUCACCUUGCACAAGCUUGGGAGGAUAUUGCUCUUUUGAGUACUCUUGGUGCACAUUAUAGUGAACUUUUAUAUGUUGGUGAAAUCAUUAUUCCAUCAUAACUAAGAAAGAUUUACAAAAGGGUAGUAAUUCAGUUGGCAUCUACUAAUUAUAGGAUUCACUCUUAUCUUAAAAACAUGAUGUGGGUGAAUUACUCGCUUGCAUUUUCUCCUUCACAAAUUGGAGAUGAAUAUUUCCUCUAGAUAAGGUCUAUAUAUACUUGUUUAAUUCUACCACAAUGACUUUGAUAGAAUGAUGGCAAACUUAUAUUUAUUCUUUCUAAUUCUAUGUUGUAGUGAGCUCUGUCUUUCUUUUGUUA
This is a non-coding RNA of Solanum lycopersicum (tomato), 2120 nucleotides long. NCBI's taxonomy places the organism in Eukaryota, Viridiplantae, Streptophyta, Magnoliopsida, Solanales, Solanaceae. The record is from RefSeq and is a predicted model, not a curated record.